AGAGCACAGGGUGGAUGCCUAGGCACUGAGAGCCGAUGAAGGACGUGAUAAGCUGCGAAAAGCCACGGGGAGGAGCAAAUAUCCUUUGAGCCGUGGAUAUCCGAAUGGGGGAACCCACUUAAGUAAACCUUAAGUACUGACAAGCCAAUACAUAACUUGCCAGAGGGAACCCGGGGAACUGAAACAUCUAAGUACCCGGAGGAAGAGAAAGAAACAUCGAUUUCCUUAGUAGCGGCGAGCGAAAGGGAAAGAGCCCAAACCGAGAGAUUUAUCUUUCGGGGUUAGGACUGCAUAAUUGAUCUGCGAUUGAUAGGAGAAUGGUCUGGGAAGUCCAGCAGGAAAGCGUGAAAGCCGCGUAUCCGAAAUUGAAAGCAGCAAGGCAGUAUCCAGAGUACCACGAGACACGAGGAACCUUGUGGGAAUGAGCGGAGACCACUCCGUAAGGCUAAAUACUACUCAGUGACCGAUAGCGCAUAGUACUGUGAAGGAAAGGUGAAAAGGACCCCGGGAGGGGAGUGAAAGAGAACCUGAAACCCUGUGUUUACAAGCUGUCGGAGCACGAUAAGUGCGACGGCGUACUUUUUGUAGAACGGUCCGGCGAGUUAUGAUACGCGGUAAGGUUAAGGACUUAAGGUCCGGAGCCGAAGCGAAAGCGAGUGUUAAGAGCACGAGGAAUCACGUAUCAUAGACCCGAAACCGGGUGAUCUAUCCAUGUCCAGGAUGAAGCUGCCGUAAGAGGUAGUGGAGGUCCGAACACACAUCCGUUGAAAAGGGUGGUGAUGAGGUGUGGAUAGGGGAGAAAUUCCAAUCGAACCCGGAGAUAGCUGGUUCUCCUCGAAAUAGCUUUAGGGCUAGCCUUCAGUUAGUCUGCCGCAGGUAGAGCACUGAAUUUCCUAGGGGGCGUCAAAGCCUACCGAAGAAUAUCAAACUGCGAAUGGCGGACAGAUGAUGCUGGGGAGUCAGACUGCACGAGAUAAGUUGGGUGGUCAAAAGGGAAAGAGCCCAGACCUACAGCUAAGGUCCCAAAGUGCGUGUUAAGUGGAAAAGGAUGUGGGAUUUCGAAGACAACUAGGAUGUUGGCUCAGAAGCAGCCACACAUUAAAAGAGUGCGUAAUAGCUCACUAGUCGAGAGGUCCUGCGCCGAAAAUGUCCGGGGCUGAAACACGACACCGAAGCUUAGGAACAAAGAAACCAAGGUUUCUAUAUGUUGGUAGAGGAGCAUUGUUAGCGGAACGAAGCCAUACCGGAAGGAGUGGUGGACUGCUAAGAAGAGAGAAUGCCGGAAUGAGUAGCGAGAUUGAAGUGAGAAUCUUCAAGGCCGAAUAUCUAAGGUUUCCAGGGUAAAGCUGAUCUGCCCUGGGUAAGUCGGGGCCUAAGGCGAGGUCGAAAGACGUAGCCGAUGGACAACAGGUUGAAAUUCCUGUACUGCGAUAUAUCAGAAAUGUGGGGACACAGAAGGAAAGUGUGAGCCGGGAAAGGAAAGACCGGUGCAAGCACAGGAGGAGAGAUACAGGCAAAUCCGUAUUUCAAUCCAAUGGUGUUACGCGGAGCGAACAAAAGUAGCGAAGCACACAGACCAUCUGUCGAGAAAAGCCGCUAUUGUGUAUAUUGUACCCGUACCGUAAACCGACACAGGUGGAUGAGGAGAGAAUCCUAAGGCCGGCGGGAGAAGCAUUGUUAAGGAACUCGGCAAAAUGACCCCGUAACUUCGGGAGAAGGGGUGCUCACGCAAGUGAGCCGCAGAGAACUGGCCCAAGCAACUGUUUAGCAAAAACACAGGUCUAUGCAAAACCGAAAGGUGAGGUAUAUGGGCUGACGCCUGCCCGGUGCUGGAAGGUUAAGAGGAGAUGUUAGAGCAAUCGAAGCAUUGAAUUUAAGCCCCAGUAAACGGCGGCCGUAACUAUAACGGUCCUAAGGUAGCGAAAUUCCUUGUCGGGUAAGUUCCGACCCGCACGAAAGGCGUAAUGAUUUGGGCACUGUCUCGACAAUGCACCCGGUGAAAUUGAAAUACCAGUGAAGAUGCUGGUUACCUGCGCCAGGACGGAAAGACCCCAUGGAGCUUUACUCUAGCUUGAUACUGGGAUUCGGUAUUGCAUGUACAGGAUAGGUGGGAGACUAAGAGGUGAUGACGCCAGUUGUCACGGAGUCGAUGUUGGGAUACCACCCCUGCAGUACUGGGUUUCUAACCUGCGGCCGUGACCCGGCCGGGGGACAAUGUCUGGUGGGGAGUUUGACUGGGGC
Molecule: ribosomal RNA, 2241 nt
Filed under: gut metagenome
Description: bacterial LSU rRNA
Rfam family: Bacterial large subunit ribosomal RNA
Source: RNAcentral